UACCAAGGCGACGAGGGGUAGCCGGCCUGAGAGGGUGUCCGGCCACACUGGGACUGAGAUACGGCCCAGACUCCUACGGGAGGCAGCAGUCGAGAAGCUUCGGCAAUGGGCGAAAGCCUGACCGAGCGAUGCCGCGUGAGCGAAGAAGGUCCUUUGGAUUGUAAAGCUCUGUCAGAUUGGGAAGAAAACCUUGGGGUUAAUACCCUCAAGGCUUGACGGUACCAUCAGAGGAAGCACCGGCUAACUCCGUGCCAGCAGCCGCGGUAAUACGGAGGGUGCAAGCGUUGUUCGGAUUCACUGGGUAUAAAGGGUGCGCAGGCGGUUUGAUAAGUCAGAGGUGAAAUAUGUCGGCUCAACCGGCAAACGGCCCCUGAAACUGUCAAACUUGAGUCCGAGAGAGGUAGGUGGAAUUCCAGGUGUAGCGGUGAAAUGCGUAAAUAUCUGGAGGAACACCAGUGGCGAAGGCGGCCUACUGGCUCGGAACUGACGCUCAGGCACGAAAGCUAGGGGAGCGAACGGGAUUAGAUACCCCGGUAGUCCUAGCCGUAAACGAUGGAUACUAGGUGUUGGAGGAUUCUACCCCUUCAGUGCCGCAGCUAACGCAUUAAGUAUCCCACCUGGGGAGUACGAUCGCAAGGUUGAAACUCAAAGGAAUUGACGGGGGCCCGCACAAGCGGUGGAGCAUGUGGUUUAAUUCGAUGCAACGCGAAGAACCUUACCUAGGCUUGACAUGCAGGGGACAGAUGUAGAAAUACAUCCUUCUUCGGACCCCUGUACAGGUGCUGCAUGGCUGUCGUCAGCUCGUGUCGUGAAAUGUUAGGUUAAGUCCUGCAACGAGCGCAACCCCUGUCUUCAGUUGCCAUCAGGUAAUGCUGGGAACUCUGGAGAGACCGCCGGUGACAAACCGGAGGAAGGUGGGGACGACGUCAAGUCAUCAUGGCCCUUACGCCUAGGGCUACACACGUGCUACAAUGGUCGGUACAAAGGGCUGCAAUACAGCGAUGUGGAGCGAAUCCCAAAAAACCGGCCUCAGUUCGGAUUGUAGUCUGCAACUCGACUACAUGAAGUUGGAAUCGCUAGUAAUCGCGUAUCAGAACGACGCGGUGAAUACGUUCCCGGGCCUUGUACACACCGCCCGUCAAGUCAACCGAGUUGGUUGCACCCCAAGUCGCUGAGCUAACCCCUUCGGGGGAGGCAAGUGCCCAAGGUGUGAUUGGCGAGGGGGACUAAGUCGUAACAAGGUA
This 1244-nucleotide ribosomal RNA is filed under the name metagenome. RNAcentral describes it as "bacterial SSU rRNA". It matches the Rfam family "Bacterial small subunit ribosomal RNA", at positions 266 to 1498 of the family's 1533-position model. The record is from RNAcentral.